This 750-nucleotide ribosomal RNA is filed under the name uncultured bacterium. RNAcentral's name for it is "bacterial SSU rRNA". It matches the Rfam family "Bacterial small subunit ribosomal RNA", at positions 31 to 783 of the family's 1533-position model. The record is from RNAcentral.
AGGGGCGGGGGGCGUGCUUACACUGCAAGUCGAGCGAAGCGUUUCUGCGGAAUUUUUCGGAAGGAAGCGGGAAUGCCUUAACGGCGGACGGGUGAGUAACGCGUGGGCAACCUGCCCCUUACAGGGGGAUAACAGUUAGAAAUGACUGCUAAAACCGCAUAAGCGCACAGCAGCGCAUGCUGCAGUGUGAAAAACUCCGGCGGUACGGGAUGGGCCCGCGUCUGAUUAGCUUGUUGGCGGGGUAACGGCCCACCAAGGCAGCGAUCAGUAGCCGAUCUGAGAGGAUGGCCGGCCACAUUGGGACUGAGACACGGCCCAAACUCCUACGGGAGGCAGCAGUGGGGAGUAUUGCACAAUGGGGGAAACCCUGAUGCAGCAACGCCGCGUGAGUGAAGAAGUAUUUCGGUAUGUAAAGCUCUAUCAGCAGGGAAGAGAAUGACGGUACCUGACUAAGAAGCCCCGGCUAACUACGUGCCAGCAGCCGCGGUAAUACGUAGGGGGCAAGCGUUAUCCGGAUUUACUGGGUGUAAAGGGAGCGUAGACGGCUGGCCAAGUCUGAAGUGAAAGCCCGGGGCUUAACCCCGGAACGGCUUUGGAAACUGGCCGGCUGGAGUGCUGGAGAGGCAGGCGGAAUUCCUGGUGUAGCGGUGAAAUGCGUAGAUAUCAGGAGGAACACCGGUGGCGAAGGCGGCCUGCUGGACAGUAACUGACGUUGAGGCUCGAAAGCGUGGGGAGCAAACAGGAUUAGAU